Molecule: ribosomal RNA, 200 nt
Filed under: uncultured bacterium
Lineage: Bacteria
Description: partial 16S ribosomal RNA
Rfam family: Bacterial small subunit ribosomal RNA
Source: RNAcentral
AGAGUUUGAUCCUGGCUCAGAACGAACGCUGGCGGCAUGCCUAACACAUGCAAGUCGAACGAAGUCUUCGGACUUAGUGGCGCACGGGUGCGUAACGCGUGGGAAUCUGCCCUUGGGUACGGAAUAACAGUUAGAAAUGACUGCUAAUACCGUAUGAUGUCGCAAGACCAAAGAUUUAUCGCCCAGGGAUGAGCCCGCGU